This 74-nucleotide transfer RNA is filed under the name Buchnera aphidicola (Brachycaudus cardui). RNAcentral describes it as "tRNA-Arg". It matches the Rfam family "tRNA". From Rfam's summary of the family: Transfer RNA (tRNA) molecules are approximately 80 nucleotides in length. Their secondary structure includes four short double-helical elements and three loops (D, anti-codon, and T loops). Further hydrogen bonds mediate the characteristic L-shaped molecular structure. tRNAs have two regions of fundamental functional importance: the anti-codon, which is responsible for specific mRNA codon recognition, and the 3' end, to which the tRNAs corresponding amino acid is attached (by aminoacyl-tRNA synthetases). tRNAs cope with the degeneracy of the genetic code in two manners: having more than one tRNA (with a specific anti-codon) for a particular amino acid; and 'wobble' base-pairing, i.e. permitting non-standard base-pairing at the 3rd anti-codon position. The record is from RNAcentral. Lineage: Bacteria; Pseudomonadati; Pseudomonadota; Gammaproteobacteria; Enterobacterales; Erwiniaceae. RNAcentral also lists the same sequence under 1 other name.
GCGCUCGUAGCUCAUUUGGAUAGAGCACUACCCUCCGAAGGUAGAGGUGUCAGGUUCAAAUCCUGUCGAGCGCA